GACCGUGAAACGACUCCACGCCGAUGAUAGUGCGGAUUGCCCGUGUGAAAGUAGGUAAUCGUCAGGC
Molecule: ribosomal RNA, 67 nt
Filed under: Paraburkholderia bryophila
Lineage: Bacteria; Pseudomonadati; Pseudomonadota; Betaproteobacteria; Burkholderiales; Burkholderiaceae
Source: RNAcentral